AAUUGGAGUUGCUUCUUGAAGACAAAGAAGAAGAUGAAGGAUUGACAACAAAGUAGAAAAAUAUUGAAAAUACGGUGGGUUUGCUUGCAAAAAGAGAAAUGAAAAAGGAUAGGAGUAAUAUUCCAAAAGCAGUAUAAGCACCUAAAAAUCCAAUACAUACAAUAAGACCGACAAUGCCUAUUGUUCAACCUUUAACAUCUUU
Molecule: long non-coding RNA, 202 nt
Filed under: Physcomitrium patens
Lineage: Eukaryota; Viridiplantae; Streptophyta; Bryopsida; Funariales; Funariaceae
Description: long non-coding RNA (PPAT_LNC011408)
Source: RNAcentral